GAGGGAAUAGCUCAGUGGUAGAGCACGUGCUUAGCAUGCCCUGGGUCCUAGGUUCAACCCCAGUACCCCCA
Molecule: transfer RNA, 71 nt
Filed under: Camelus bactrianus (Bactrian camel)
Lineage: Eukaryota; Metazoa; Chordata; Mammalia; Artiodactyla; Camelidae
Also listed under: 2 other names
Rfam family: tRNA
About the family: Transfer RNA (tRNA) molecules are approximately 80 nucleotides in length.
Source: Rfam by way of RNAcentral